CCUACGGGGAGCAGCAGUGGGGAAUAUUGGACAAUGGGCGAAAGCCUGAUCCAGCCAUGCCGCGUGUGUGAAGAAGGCCUUCGGGUUGUAAAGCACUUUCAGUGGGGAAGAAAGCCUUGGGGCGAAUACCCUCGAGGAAGGACAUCACCCACAGAAGAAGCACCGGCUAACUCCGUGCCAGCAGCCGCGGUAAUACGGAGGGUGCGAGCGUUAAUCGGAAUUACUGGGCGUAAAGCGCGCGUAGGCGGUCUGAUAAGCCGGUUGUGAAAGCCCCGGGCUCAACCUGGGAACGGCAUCCGGAACUGUCAGGGUAGAGUGCAGGAGAGGAAGGUAGAAUUCCCGGUGUAGCGGUGAAUUGCGUAGAGAUCGGGAGGAAUACCAGUGGCGAAGGCGGACUUCUGGACUGACACUGACGCUGAGGUGCGAAAGCGUGGGUAGCAAACAGGAUUAGAUACCCUUGUAGUC
RNAcentral lists this ribosomal RNA (465 nucleotides) under Vreelandella stevensii. Its description in RNAcentral is "partial 16S ribosomal RNA". It matches the Rfam family "Bacterial small subunit ribosomal RNA", at positions 338 to 795 of the family's 1533-position model. The record is from RNAcentral. Lineage: Bacteria; Pseudomonadati; Pseudomonadota; Gammaproteobacteria; Oceanospirillales; Halomonadaceae.